AGAGUUUGAUCCUGGCUCAGGACGAACGCUGGCGGCGUGCUUAACACAUGCAAGUCGAACGAUGAAGCUGGAGCUUGCUCCGGUGGAUUAGUGGCGAACGGGUGAGUAACACGUGAGAAAUCUGCCCCUGACUCUGGGAUAACUGCGGGAAACUGUAGCUAAUACCGGAUACUUUCCCUGGUGGGCAUCCACUGGGGAAGAAAGAAUUUCGGUCAGGGAGGAUCUCGCGGCCUAUCAGCUAGUUGGUGAGGUAACGGCUCACCAAGGCGACGACGGGUAACCGGCCUGAGAGGGUGACCGGUCACACUGGGACUGAGACACGGCCCAGACUCCUACGGGAGGCAGCAGUGGGGAAUAUUGCACAAUGGGCGCAAGCCUGAUGCAGCAACGCCGCGUGAGGGAUGAAGGCCUUCGGGUUGUAAACCUCUUUUAGCAGGGAAGAAGCGAAAGUGACGGUACCUGCAGAAAAAGCACCGGCUAACUACGUGCCAGCAGCCGCGGUAAU
Molecule: ribosomal RNA, 505 nt
Filed under: uncultured bacterium
Lineage: Bacteria
Description: bacterial SSU rRNA
Rfam family: Bacterial small subunit ribosomal RNA
Source: RNAcentral